UAGGGAAUCUUCCGCAAUGGGCGAAAGCCUGACGGAGCAACGCCGCGUGAGUGAUGAAGGUCUUCGGAUCGUAAAACUCUGUUAUUAGGGAAGAACAAAUGUGUAAGUAACUAUGCACGUCUUGACGGUACCUAAUCAGAAAGCCACGGCUAACUACGUGCCAGCAGCCGCGGUAAUACGUAGGUGGCAAGCGUUAUCCGGAAUUAUUGGGCGUAAAGCGCGCGUAGGCGGUUUUUUAAGUCUGAUGUGAAAGCCCACGGCUCAACCGUGGAGGGUCAUUGGAAACUGGAAAACUUGAGUGCAGAAGAGGAAAGUGGAAUUCCUAGUGUAGCGGUGAAAUGCGCAGAUAUUAGGAGGAAUACCGGUGGCGAAGGCGACUUUCUGGCCAUAAUCUGACGCGGAGGUACGAAAGCGUGGGUAGCAAACAGG
Molecule: ribosomal RNA, 429 nt
Filed under: Bacteroidota bacterium
Lineage: Bacteria; Pseudomonadati; Bacteroidota
Description: Bacteroidetes bacterium partial 16S ribosomal RNA
Rfam family: Bacterial small subunit ribosomal RNA
Source: RNAcentral